This 486-nucleotide ribosomal RNA is filed under the name uncultured bacterium. RNAcentral describes it as "bacterial SSU rRNA". It matches the Rfam family "Bacterial small subunit ribosomal RNA", at positions 28 to 526 of the family's 1533-position model. The record is from RNAcentral.
GACGAACGCUGGCGGCGUGCUUAACACAUGCAAGUCGAACGAUGAUCCGGAGCUUGCUCCGGGGAUUAGUGGCGAACGGGUGAGUAACACGUGAGUAACCUGCCCUUGACUCUGGGAUAAGCGUUGGAAACGACGUCUAAUACCGGAUAUGACCUUUGCCGGCAUCGGCUGGAGGUGGAAAGAUUUUUUGGUCAAGGAUGGACUCGCGGCCUAUCAGGUAGUUGGUGAGGUAAUGGCUCACCAAGCCGACGACGGGUAGCCGGCCUGAGAGGGUGACCGGCCACACUGGGACUGAGACACGGCCCAGACUCCUACGGGAGGCAGCAGUGGGGAAUAUUGCACAAUGGGCGAAAGCCUGAUGCAGCAACGCCGCGUGAGGGAUGACGGCCUUCGGGUUGUAAACCUCUUUCAGCGCAGACGAAGCGAAAGUGACGGUACGCGCAGAAGAAGGACCGGCCAACUACGUGCCAGCAGCCGCAGUAACAC